UUUAAGUUUUAUUCUUGCUUAAAUAUUUACUUUUUCUUUGAGUUAUAUGCAAGUUUUGUUAGACUAUAUGUUCUGUUUUCAGUAAUUUGAUUUAGUUAAUCAAGUGAUUUUGGAUUUAGCAAUUGUUUGAGUAUUGGUAUAAUUCGUGCCAGCAGCCGCGGUUAUACGAUUGAUACAAGUAAAUAUUAUUGGUUAAUACAGUUAUUAUACUUUGAGAUAAACUUAAAAUUUUGAUGGAGAAAUUUAAAUUUUUUUAUGUUUCUUUCUAUGAUUCUGUGAAACUUAAAUAAUAAACUAGGAUUAGAUACCCUAUUAUUUUAAAUGUCAAUUAUACUUACCAGGGUAUUAAUAGUUAAGGUCUUUAAACCCAAAGAAUUUGGCAGUAUCUCAUUCCAUUCAGAGGAACCUAUCCCAUGAUUGAUAGUACACGAUUAACUUUACUAAAUUUAUUUGUUUGUAUAUCUCCGUUAUCAGAAAAUCUUUUUAGAGUUAUAAUUUUCUUAAUUUAUAAUUAUAAAUUAUUUCAGGUCAAGGUGCAGUUAAUAAUUAAGAGGAGACGGGUUACAAUAAAUUUUUGUUUAUAACGGAUUUAAUGGUGAAACACUGUUAAUGAAGGUGGAUUUGAUAGUAAUUUGACAUAUUUAAUUUAAUUGAUAUUGGCUCUGAGGUGUGUACACAUCGCCCGACGCUCUCAUUAUUAAUAUUGACCAAUUAAUCUAUAAGGUAGAAUUUAAGUUAGAUGAGAUAAGUCGUAACAUAGUAGAUGUACUGGAAAGUGUAUCUAGAAAGAUU
Molecule: non-coding RNA, 792 nt
Filed under: Sinopodisma pieli
Lineage: Eukaryota; Metazoa; Arthropoda; Insecta; Orthoptera; Acrididae
Description: 12S ribosomal RNA
Rfam family: Microsporidia small subunit ribosomal RNA (bases 341-784)
Source: RNAcentral